Molecule: ribosomal RNA, 256 nt
Filed under: uncultured bacterium
Lineage: Bacteria
Description: partial 16S ribosomal RNA
Rfam family: Bacterial small subunit ribosomal RNA
Source: RNAcentral
GACGUAGGUGGCAAACGUUAUCCGGAAUUAUUGGGCGUAAAGGGUGCGUAGGUGGCCUGGCAAGUUAUCAGUGGCAAAUCGAGGCUCAACCUCGUGGAAACUGGUAAUACUGUCCGGCUUGAGUGCAGGAGAGGUUAACGGAACUCUAUGUGGAGCGGUAAAAUGCACAGAUAUAUAGAAGAACAUCAAUAACGGCGAAGGCAGUUAACUAUUCUGUUUCUGACACUGAGGCACGAAAGCGUGGGGAGCAAAACGG